GAUGAAGAACGCAGCGAAAUGCGAUACGUAGUGUGAAUUGCAGAAUUCAGUGAAUCAUCGAAUCUUUGAACGCACAUUGCACCUCUAGGUAUUCCGGGAGGUAUGCCUGUUCGAGCGUCAUUUGUACCCUCAAGCUCUGCUUGGUGUUGGGUGUUUGUUCCGCCUCUGUGUGUGAACUCGCCUCAAAACAAUUGGCAGCCGGCGUACUUGUUUCGGAGCGCAGCACAUUUUGCGAUCCAGAUCAACGUACAGCGGCAUCCAAGAAGCCUUAUUUAACGCUCUUGACCUCGGAUCAGGUAGGGAUACCCGCUGAACUUAAGCAUAUCAAUAAGCGGAGGA
Molecule: unclassified non-coding RNA, 339 nt
Filed under: soil metagenome
Description: partial contains 5.8S ribosomal RNA, internal transcribed spacer 2, and large subunit ribosomal RNA
Rfam family: 5.8S ribosomal RNA (bases 1-120)
Source: RNAcentral